RNAcentral lists this long non-coding RNA (1745 nucleotides) under Cicer arietinum (chickpea). RNAcentral describes it as "long non-coding RNA (CARI_LNC000779)". Lineage: Eukaryota; Viridiplantae; Streptophyta; Magnoliopsida; Fabales; Fabaceae. The record is from RNAcentral.
AUGAGUUCAGUGCUUUUGGCAAAUUGGUAAUGAAAAUGAAUGAACGGUGGUACUUAUAUUUUAGAUAUCGAGUUCGAUCUCUAUUGAACACUUAUGCCUUAUAGGACUAUCAGCUAGAUUUCUUUAGGAUUAUCAAUGGAGUCGAUCCAUGAGGCACACCCUUUUUUCCAAGCACAAACUCAAGUUUAUUGAUGGAACACUUCCAAUCCCAUCUCAUUAAGACAACAACUUUGAAUCUUGGGAACAUCGUAAGGUGAUGAUCUUUUCUUGGAUCACUCAAUUCGUCUCUUCAUUGAUUGCUCAAAGCAUUGUCUAUACUGAAAAUGCCAUUGAUCUAUGGAAUGAACUAAAUGAUCGCUUUAUCAAAGGUAAUCGUUUUCGGUUUUCAAAUCUUCUCCGCGAAAUUCAUUCAAUAUGUCAAGGUGAGCAUUCCAUGACUACUUUUUAUACUGUUUUGAAAACCAUUUGGAUCGAACUUGAUCAAUUACGUCCUCUAGCUUCGUGCAUUUGUACAAAACCUUGUGUUUGUUAUCCAAAUAUUCAGAAAAAUCUAAAGAACCUUAAAGAUUACGAGUUUGUUAUUUCUUUCCUCAAAGGCCUCAAUGACUAAUUUUCUUCUGUUAAUACCCAAAUCCUCAUGUUGGACCCUUUACCCCCAAUUUACAAUGUCCUUGCUUCGGCUAUUCAACAAGAAGGUCAAAUUUUCACCACUACAAGUAAUUUUGUGUGAUCCCACAAUUCUUUCUUCUUCAUCCGAUUAUCAACAACCAAAAUUCACUCAUCCUUAUGGUCGCAGUCAUGAUUCUGGGGAAACCACCUAAUUCUAGAUCUUCUAAAAUGUGCAAUUUUUGUGGAAAAGGGCGACAUACUAUAGAAUCAUGCUAUUAUAAACAUGGAUUCCUCUUGGAUAUAAGUUUCACAAUCGUUCUCCUAUGGCAUAUAACAUUGUUAUUGAUGAUGAAGACACCGAAGAAAGCAUUCAACCACAACAUUAUUCUUCCUUUGAUGCAUCAAACAAUAUUACCAUUUAUAGCACUCAAUAUCAACAAUUUUUAGAAUAUAUUAGUUAUGUCCAUAACAACCAAUGGUCUAAUAAUUUCGUCAAUUCUAUCAUUGGUGAGUCUCCUUUUUCUGCAUGUCUUAUCUCUUCCAACAAAAAUUCAUGUAUUUCCUCUUCUUUACCCUAUUGAGUUUUCGAUAGUGACACAACUGACCAUGUAACAAAUUCUUUAUCUUACUUUACUGAAUAUCAUCAUAUAUCUCUCUGUAAAAUAAAAUUAUCCAAUGGCUCUGUUACUCACACUGUUCAUGCUGACACAAUUAAAUUGUCUCCUGAUCUCAUCUUAUAUGAUGUGUUAUUUAUUCCUGACUUUCAAUUCAAUAUUAUAUAUAUUCAUAAAUUGAUUGUUUCUUUAAAUUGUAACUUGAUCUUCACUAAACCUUCUUGUUUCAUUCAGGAUCCUCAUCAUCCAAGAUGAUUAGAUAUGUUGAAGUUCAUGAAGGACUUUAUAUUCUGGACAAUUAUGUUUUUUCUGUUCAACAUAAUUAUGUUGUUACUUGUAAUAUUUCCCAUUGUCUUGAUAAUAACUCUUUCAACAUUAUGACCAAAUCUUUUGAUAUUUGACACUAUCACUUAGGUCACCGUUCUAAUUAUAUUUUAAAGAAUAUUGCUACUCAAUUUCCUUUUGUUAAGUUUCAUUGUAAUAAAAAUUUGUGACUAUUGUCAUUUAGCAAAUCAAUCUAAG